This is a long non-coding RNA of Cyprinus carpio carpio, 754 nucleotides long. The record is from Ensembl. NCBI's taxonomy places the organism in Eukaryota, Metazoa, Chordata, Actinopteri, Cypriniformes, Cyprinidae.
UUUUUUUUAGCUGAAAAGACGUAAAGGAAGCAGUCAACCCAGUUGUGUUUGUGGAGAGGUAUUCCUUCAGAAAUGGAGAAGAUAGAAAGCUGUGGAGGCACACAUUUGCAGUGGAUUGUUUGCAGAUGAUGUCCUUCUUUUUCAGGUCUACAGUUUUUUUAAGAGCCAACCAUCACAAACCUUCCUAAAAAAGAGCUAUUACUGAGUCUCAGCGAAUCUUGCCCUGAUCAGCCCUUUCCAGAUGAUCUCAUCAGCCAAAUGAGGGGUUUUGACCAAGUGACUAAAAGGAGUGAAAGAAGAGGAUGUGGUAAAUUGUCUUCAAAGAAAAAGCUUCUCAAAAGAUCUUAAAACAGCUUGAAGAAUGGUCUGGGAACUGUCUGAAAAUGGGAUGUUAGGACUGAGAGAUCCUCUGGCUGAGAAAAAGCUACACCACAUCCGUGCUGGAUAUCAACCGCAAACUGUUUACAGACACGAGAGAAGAAGAUCAUGACUGGGAAGAGCAAGAAACCAGUUUAGAUGUGAUGAUAAGGAAUCAUUAUUUUCUGAAACAGUAUCACAUGUCUUAUAUGUAUCACAGGCUCAGUAUCACAGCUGACUGGAUGGGAUUGUGUGACUUUGAAGAAAAUUUGAUCACUUAUCUGUGUGAACUGAUUAAUAUAUGAUGUUAAUGUUUUUUUGAUGAUCCAUUAUUUCCUUUGAAUCUUAUUUGUCUUGAUGCUACCUUAUCAACUUUAUAGUCUAUGCUUCAAUAAAA